AUUUUGUUGAAGCAGCAGGAACUUUUGACAGUUAAAAAAAGAAAGCAACAGGAUCAAUUAACAGAACGGGAUAAGUUUCAGAUUUCUCUUCAGCAGAAUGAUGAAAAGCAACAGGGAGCUUUUAUAAGUACUGAGGAAACUGAAUUGGAACACACCAGCACUGUGGUGGAGGUCUGUGAGGCAAUUGCGUCAGUUCAGGCAGAAGCAAAUACAGUUUGGACUGAGGCAUCACAAUCUGCAGAAAUCUCUGAAGAACCUGCGGAAUGGUCAAGCAACUAUUUCUACCCUACUUAUGAUGAAAAUGAAGAAGAAAAUAGGCCCCUCAUGCUAUGGUAUCAGAAGAUAAAGUAAAUAUGCAAAAUUGAAGAAUGCUU
Molecule: long non-coding RNA, 374 nt
Filed under: Homo sapiens (human)
Lineage: Eukaryota; Metazoa; Chordata; Mammalia; Primates; Hominidae
Description: HSALNT0286855
Source: RNAcentral